This 264-nucleotide long non-coding RNA is filed under the name Mustela putorius furo (domestic ferret). RNAcentral's name for it is "lncRNA (ENSMPUG00000026878.1)". The record is from RNAcentral. Lineage: Eukaryota; Metazoa; Chordata; Mammalia; Carnivora; Mustelidae.
AUGAAGGAUUGGAAAUCCUGCCCAACACGGAGAUCUGUCAGCAAAGAGAUGGACUGCAGCCCCGGCGACACAGGCAGCUGGAGGAGAGCGUGCGUGUGCACGUGCGUGCCCCUGCAGGGAGUGCGAGGGGGUGAACUUCAGGGCCUGGCUUGGGGGGCCAGUUGUGCUCCUCUCGAGUGUUUUCCAUUUGUGUGGUCGGAAACCCUUCCCGAUACCUCGGGUGGCCUCGGAUCCUUCCCUGCAGGCAGCCAUCUUCAGGGCUGA